RNAcentral lists this long non-coding RNA (1539 nucleotides) under Homo sapiens (human). RNAcentral describes it as "non-protein coding lnc-PTBP2-12:1". Lineage: Eukaryota; Metazoa; Chordata; Mammalia; Primates; Hominidae. The record is from RNAcentral.
ACUGUGGAGACAGGACUUUGACUACCAGGUGUAGUGCAGAAGGCUGGAUAAUUGGAGGAGGCAGAAAAUUAGUGCAGAGAAGAUGGCCAAAUUGCAGGUCAGCAUGGUUUGGUGUAAUUAUUGGUUAACCCUCUCCUGUCUGUUAACCAAAAACUACUUGUGUGUUUGAGGAACCAGGAAAUCUGCACUGAAGGGACAAGAAUUAUCACUCCCUGCCCAAGCCAACUGAAUUUUUUGAUAGCUAAGGUUUUCAGCAAAUUGUUUUUGGUUUAGUGUUUGAUACUCAGACGAUUGCCAGGAAAACACAGGAAGAAGUGAAUUUUAAGUGCUUGAAAGCCUCCUGACUCAGAAACAAACCUAAUUUUACCUAGUGUGUUUGCCACUUUUUAUCUCUUUUGAAAAGACUUAUAGGGAGGAAUGUACAUAAUCAGGAAAGGGCAUCUAUGCUCUGUACCUCCGAUUCUCCUUGACAGAUGCAAAAAGCUAAUUGGUAUUAGCAAAUGUGCCCAUUGAAAGCAAGCAUAUUUUAGUAACACAAGUGUACACUGUAGUGAUGGUGAGUACAAUCCAGCAGCUAACAGUCUUUAAGUGUUCUUGCACAAUAAUUUCACUUUUAAAAUUUGACUAUCAAUGUUUUAAUAAUAGAAUUGUAACUGUAAUUAAAAUAUUUGAUAAUUUCAAAUUUAUUCUUUUCUUCCACAAGUUCUCUUCAUGAUGGUAAUGUUCACUUUCAGUUGACUAUUGGUUUUAACAACUGGCUGUUCUCUCCACUGGACCAAAAGGUAUAUUUGGUGUAGAUGUAAAUUAUAGUUUCCUUAAUAAAUCUAAGCCAGAAAGAAAUCUCUUUGGUUUUUUCAUACAUGUAUGUACAGCCCUUUAUUAUUCUCUACCUUGUGUCCUUAUUUGUUUCUUUCUUAGCAUGUUCUGUAAUUUAUAAUUUUUUUUCAUUUGCUUAGUGCAUUGUCUGUCUCUCCUAAGUAGAGACAACCUCAUAAGGCAGAGACAUGUUUACUAUUUUUUUUCCUAAUGUGUGGAACUGUGCUUAGUUCACAACCAGUACUCAACUGUUGAAUUGUUCAUACUGCCCAAGGUAAUUUAUAGAUUCAAUGCCAUCCCCAUCAAGCUACCAAUGACUUUCUUCACAGAAUUGGAAAAAACUACUUCAAAGUUCAUAUGGAACCAAAAAAGAGCCUGCAUCGCCAAGUCAAUCCUAAGCCAAAAGAACAAAGCUGGAGGCAUCACGCUACCUGACUUCAAACUAUACUACAAGGCUACAGUAACCAAAACAGCAUGGUACUGGUACCAAAACAGAGAUAUAGAGCAAUGGAACAGAACAGAGCCCUCAGAAAUAACGCCACAUAUCUACAACUAUCUGAUCUUUGACAAACCUGAGAAAAACAAGCAAUGGGGAAAGGAUUCCCUAUUUAAUAAAUGGUGCUGGGAAAACUGGCUAGCCAUAUGUAGAUAGCUGAAACUGGAUCCCUUCCUUACACCUUAUACAAAAAUCAAUUCAAGAUGGAUUAAAGACUUAAACGUUAG